RNAcentral lists this long non-coding RNA (1282 nucleotides) under Homo sapiens (human). Its description in RNAcentral is "HSALNT0261250". The record is from RNAcentral. Lineage: Eukaryota; Metazoa; Chordata; Mammalia; Primates; Hominidae.
CUCAGUCGUCGAGUGCUAGGGACUAGUCGAGCCUGGAGGCACAGGGAGUAGGGUGUAGGAAGGCCUGCCUCUGCCUAUGGUGGGGUCCUGGGAGCCAGGAGGAGGCCGUGACCCGAGAAAGGUGCUGGACUGAAGCCUCAACCCUCCUCUACUUGAGGCUUUCCUGCACCACAGUCCAACCUCCCAGGAGGGGCGCGGCUUCGGACUUAGCUUCUGCCCAAUGAGAGAGGGUCUCCCCGUGACUGUGCUGCCAGGGAAGCCACUUGACCCUGGUGCCCCCAAGGAGGGAUUCAGCCCGAGCCCCACCUCUCCCUUAGGGACCUCCGCCCACUCUACCCUCAAGCCAGGAUGCCCGGAGCUGUCCCCGGAAAUGCGUGUGCUUCAGGUGAUUUAACUGAUUAUUGAAUAGGCCCGCAGGAGGUAUGUCCUGCCCACGGGGCCGAAGCCUCGGAGGACAUUAUCUGGACUUAGUCCCUUCCCCGCGAUGCCAUCAAGCUGGACAAUUUUAAGGUCUGUUUCUUUCCCAAUGUAGGGUAUAGGUUGGCACAGCAAAGAGGGCUAGAAACCUGACUUGCGCUCCCCACCCAGGGCUGAACUGUGCAGCAUCUUGAUCGCUUCUCAUUGAACCUUGCUUAUACUCCCCCUGUGAUCGGUAGCUCAUUAUCUCAAAACAGAAUAUUCUAAGCCAACCCCUGCCUGCUCUCACCAAGUAAGAUUUCUCAUUUGAACCCCAGCUCCCAGAUACUUAAAGGCCUUCUGUAGACCAUGUCCUCAAGGUCCCCUGGCCAUCUGCUUGCAUGCUCCAGUUUCUCUCCACCCCCAUCCACAUCGUGAAAUGUGCCCUCCCACUCCCCAGGAUGAGCAAGGUGGUGUCCUCUGUGACUGAGCAGUCAGCAACUUAACACCAAAGGUCACCAAUGAUCAAAUCCAUGAGAGUUGAUCUGAGGAGUUAUGUAUUAGGGCUACGAAAGAGUAAACACUCAGUAAAUAGUGGCUAUUAUUAUCAUCAUCAUCAUCAUGAUUACUCUCAAUUUCCCCCUGGAGAACUCCUAUUCAACCUUCAAAACCCCACGUGGUGGCACCCAUCCUGCAGAGACUGAGCUCAAAUUCAGAGAGUUGUGAUUUUGUGAUGAUUUGAUGAGUUCCCAAACUGGGGUCCGUAGAGCAGCUGGGCCAACCCUGAGGUCUCUCAGCAUCCAGCUCUGUUCUUUUUCUGCCUGACCAGUUCCUGGGUAUAAGUCUCAGGCCCGGCCAGUCCGGCUGAGGAGUGUGCAGACACAGG